AGCUCGACCGGGUCCACGCCACGGGUGACGACGAGGUAGUCGCGCAGCGCGACCCCGUGCCGUCCCUC
Molecule: small RNA, 68 nt
Filed under: Blastococcus fimeti
Lineage: Bacteria; Bacillati; Actinomycetota; Actinomycetes; Geodermatophilales; Geodermatophilaceae
Description: Blastococcus sp. DSM 44205 ASdes TB sRNA
Rfam family: ASdes TB sRNA
Source: RNAcentral